Molecule: ribosomal RNA, 446 nt
Filed under: uncultured bacterium
Lineage: Bacteria
Description: SSU rRNA
Rfam family: Bacterial small subunit ribosomal RNA
Source: RNAcentral
AGAACGAACGCUGGCGGCAGGCUUAACACAUGCAAGUCGAACGCGUGUAGCAAUACACGAGUGGCGCACGGGUGAGUAACGCGUGGAUAUCUGCCUUUUGGUUCGGAAUAACCCCGGGAAACUGGGGCUAAUACCGGAUGGUUCCUACGGGAUAAAGAUUUAUCGCCAAAAGAUGAGUCCGCGUACGAUUAGCUAGUUGGUGAGGUAAUGGCUCACCAAGGCGACGAUCGUUAGCUGGUCUGAGAGGACGAUCAGCCACACUGGGACUGAGACACGGCCCAGACUCCUACGGGAGGCAGCAGUGGGGAAUAUUGGACAAUGGGGGCAACCCUGAUCCAGCCAUGCCGCGUGAGUGAUGAAGGCCUUCGGGUUGUAAAGCUCUUUUGGCGGGACGAUGAUGACGGUACCGCAGAAUAAGCCCCGGCUAACUUUGUGCCAGCAGCCGC